RNAcentral lists this ribosomal RNA (481 nucleotides) under uncultured bacterium. RNAcentral's name for it is "partial 16S ribosomal RNA". It matches the Rfam family "Bacterial small subunit ribosomal RNA", at positions 28 to 507 of the family's 1533-position model. The record is from RNAcentral.
GACGAACGCUGGCGGCGUGCUUAACACAUGCAAGUCGAACGCUGAAGCUCAGCUUGCUGGGUGGAUGAGUGGCGAACGGGUGAGUAACACGUGAGUAACCUGCCCCCUUCUUUGGGAUAACGCCCGGAAACGGGUGCUAAUACUGGAUAUUCACUGAUCUUCGCAUGGGGGUUGGUGGAAAGGUUUUUUCUGGUGGGGGAUGGGCUCGCGGCCUAUCAGCUUGUUGGUGGGGUGAUGGCCUACCAAGGCUUUGACGGGUAGCCGGCCUGAGAAGGUGACCGGUCACAUUGGGACUGAGAUACGGCCCAGACUCCUACGGGAGGCAGCAGUGGGGAAUAUUGCACAAUGGGCGAAAGCCUGAUGCAGCGACGCCGCGUGAGGGAUGGAGGCCUUCGGGUUGUAAACCUCUUUCGCUCAUGGUCAAGCCGCAACAUUGGUUGUGGUGAGGGUAGUGGGUAAAGAAGCGCCGGCUAACUACGUG